CAUUGACAAGGACAUCGUCAUGGACCAGUGGUGAAGAGCCUCGAGAGAAGGUUAAUUUUUCGAAAGGAGAAGUCCACUAUUUCAGCUUCAUCAUUCAGCCUGGAAACUGAACUGCUUCAUAAAACUUGUGCUUGAAAAGUGUCAUGGGACCCAUAUUAAGUUUCCAAAUUUGAUCUGCUGCACACAAGUAGCUUUGAAGAAGAAGGAUCCCAGCUUAAAGAAAAACAUGUGUCACAUCCAUAAUUGUUUGACAUCAUCUUCAAGCACACCUGGAUUCCUUGUUGCAAUGUCUUCAAAACAAAUGUAAAAAUGAAAGGAUUUCAGUGGUGAGCUCAUAAUGAUGGGAUCAAAAGGAAGUGAACUGGACUCUGAGGGACUUAAC
Molecule: non-coding RNA, 382 nt
Organism: Danio rerio (zebrafish)
Lineage: Eukaryota; Metazoa; Chordata; Actinopteri; Cypriniformes; Danionidae
Source: RefSeq, a predicted model, not a curated record